AGGGAAUCUUCCGCAAUGGACGAAAGUCUGACGGAGCAACGCCGCGUGAGUGAAGAAGGUUUUCGGAUUGUAAAGCUCUGUCAUCUGGGACGAUAAUGACGGUACCAGAUGAGGAAGCCACGGCUAACUACGUGCCAGCAGCCGCGGUAAUACGUAGGUGGCAAGCGUUGUCCGGAAUUACUGGGCGUAAAGGGUGCGUAGGCGGAUGUUUAAGUGAGAUGUGAAAUACCCGGGCUUAAGUUGGGUGCUGCAUUUCAAACUGGAUCUCUAGAGUGCAGGAGAGGAGAAUGGAAUUCCUAGUGUAGCGGUGAAAUGCGUAGAGAUUAGGAAGAACACCAGUGGCGAAGGCGAUUCUCUGGACUGUAACUGACGCUGAGGCACGAAAGCGUGGGUAGCAAAC
Molecule: ribosomal RNA, 400 nt
Filed under: uncultured bacterium
Lineage: Bacteria
Description: bacterial SSU rRNA
Rfam family: Bacterial small subunit ribosomal RNA
Source: RNAcentral